AACGAACGCUGGCGGCAGGCCUAACACAUGCAAGUCGAGCGCUGUAGCAAUACAGAGCGGCGCACGGGUGAGUAACACGUGGGAACGUGCCCUUUGGUUCGGAAUAACUCAGGGAAACUUGAGCUAAUACCGGAUGAGCCCUAACGGGGAAAGAUUUAUCGCCGAAGGAGCGGCCCGCGUCGGAUUAGCUAGUUGGUGGGGUAAUAGCCUACCAAGGCAACGAUCCGUAGCUGGUUUGAGAGAACGACCAGCCACACUGGGACUGAGACACGGCCCAGACUCCUACGGGAGGCAGCAGUGGGGAAUCUUGGACAAUGGGGGAAACCCUGAUCCAGCCAUGCCGCGUGAGUGAUGAAGGCCCUAGGGUUGUAAAACUCUUUCGGCGGGGACGAUAAUGACGGUACCCGCAGAAGAAGCUCCGGCUAACUUCGUGCCAGCCGCCGCCGUAA
RNAcentral lists this ribosomal RNA (449 nucleotides) under uncultured bacterium. Its description in RNAcentral is "partial 16S ribosomal RNA". It matches the Rfam family "Bacterial small subunit ribosomal RNA", at positions 29 to 523 of the family's 1533-position model. The record is from RNAcentral.